ACAGUAAUUCCACCCUCCUCCUCAUGAUAGCCCUCCUUCUCUCCCCCAUGCUAACCUAUGCAUCUGCUGCUCGUCCAGAGCCUGUGAAAACCCAACACAUGGGUUCUUCAGAGAUGGUUGAUAAUGAAGAAACUAAUUGUGAAGGAGUGAAGGAGGAAGAGUGCUUGAUGAGGAGGACACUGGUUGCUCAUAUUGAUUAUAUAUAUACCCAGAAGCAGCACAAGCCCUGAAUGAAUCUCUCUCUCUUUGUUUGUCUCUUAAUUAGAAUCACUGGCUAGGAUUCUAAUAUUUGUGUUUAUAUAUCAGUUAGUAUAGCAUAAUAAUAAAGAAUAAAACAUGUUUCCUGUGUUUUCUUUGU
Camellia sinensis is the source of this 358-nucleotide non-coding RNA. The record is from RefSeq and is a predicted model, not a curated record. NCBI's taxonomy places the organism in Eukaryota, Viridiplantae, Streptophyta, Magnoliopsida, Ericales, Theaceae.